RNAcentral lists this ribosomal RNA (814 nucleotides) under Quasiphoma hyphaenes. Its description in RNAcentral is "Pezizomycotina sp. JZG-2022m partial large subunit ribosomal RNA". It matches the Rfam family "Eukaryotic large subunit ribosomal RNA", at positions 79 to 911 of the family's 3401-position model. Lineage: Eukaryota; Fungi; Ascomycota; Dothideomycetes; Pleosporales; Leptosphaeriaceae. The record is from RNAcentral.
CCUAGUAACGGCGAGUGAAGCGGCAACAGCUCAAAUUUGAAAUCUGGCUCUUUCAGAGUCCGAGUUGUAAUUUGCAGAGGGCGCUUUGGUAUCGGCAGCGGUCCAAGUUCCUUGGAACAGGACGUCACAGAGGGUGAGAAUCCCGUACGUGGUCGCUAACCUUUACCGUGUAAAGCCCCUUCGACGAGUCGAGUUGUUUGGGAAUGCAGCUCUAAAUGGGAGGUAAAUUUCUUCUAAAGCUAAAUACUGGCCAGAGACCGAUAGCGCACAAGUAGAGUGAUCGAAAGAUGAAAAGCACUUUGGAAAGAGAGUCAAAUAGCACGUGAAAUUGUUGAAAGGGAAGCGCUUGCAGCCAGACUUGCCUGUAGUUGCUCACCUGGGCUUCUGCCCGGGGCACUCUUCUAUAGGCAGGCCAGCAUCAAUUUGGGCGGUUGGAUAAAGAUCUCUGUCAUGUACCUCCUCUCGGGGAGGCCUUAUAGGGGAGAUAAAAUACAACCAGCCUGGAUUGAGGUCCGCGCAUCUGCUAGGAUGCUGGCGUAAUGGCUGUAAGCGGCCCGUCUUGAAACACGGACCAAGGAGUCUAACAUCUAUGCGAGUGUUUGGGUGUCAAGCCCGAACGCGUAAUGAAAGUGAACGGAGGUGGGAACCCUUAAGGGUGCACCAUCGACCGAUCCUGAUGUCUUCGGAUGGAUUUGAGUAAGAGCAUGGCUGUUGGGACCCGAAAGAUGGUGAACUAUGCUUGAAUAGGGUGAAGCCAGAGGAAACUCUGGUGGAGGCUCGCAGCGGUUCUGACGUGCAAAUCGAUCGUCAAAUU